CAAAAACAUUGCUCUCAGCAACUAAUUGAGAGUAUGUCCUGCCCAGUGAAUUAUUCAACGGCCGCGGUAUCCUAACCGUGCAAAGGUAGCAUAAUCACUUGCCCAUUAAUUGUGGGCUAGAAUGAAAGGAUGAACGAAAUAAAGACUGUCUCUACAAGCCCCCUAAAAAUUAACCUCUAAUUGAAGAGUAUUAGAUAGCCCCGAAGGACAAGAAGACCCUAUAGAGCUUAAUUAAAAUAAAUAUAAAAAAUUUACUAAAAUUCGGUUGGGGCGACCAGGGAAAUACCUAUCAUCCCUUAAUACAAGAUAAAUUAAUCCACAUAUUGACCCUUAUUCAAGAUCACCAGAACAAGCUACCUUAGGGAUAACAGGCUAAUCUCACUUGAGAGUCCUUAUCAAUAGUGAGGUUUGGCACCUCGAUGUUGGCUUAGGGAAUCUAUAUGGCGCAAAAGUCAUAUAAAGAUGGUUUGUUCAACCAAUAAUACCCUACGUGAUCU
Molecule: ribosomal RNA, 497 nt
Filed under: Lumbricus polyphemus
Lineage: Eukaryota; Metazoa; Annelida; Clitellata; Crassiclitellata; Lumbricidae
Description: partial 16S ribosomal RNA
Rfam family: Bacterial large subunit ribosomal RNA
Source: RNAcentral